This 730-nucleotide ribosomal RNA is filed under the name uncultured bacterium. RNAcentral describes it as "bacterial SSU rRNA". It matches the Rfam family "Bacterial small subunit ribosomal RNA", at positions 771 to 1501 of the family's 1533-position model. The record is from RNAcentral.
AACAGGAUUAGAUACCCUGGUAGUCCACGCCGUAAACGAUGUCGACUUGGAGGUUGUGCCCUUGAGGCGUGGCUUCCGGAGCUAACGCGUUAAGUCGACCGCCUGGGGAGUACGGCCGCAAGGUUAAAACUCAAAUGAAUUGACGGGGGCCCGCACAAGCGGUGGAGCAUGUGGUUUAAUUCGAUGCAACGCGAAGAACCUUACCUACUCUUGACAUCCAGAGAACUUAGCAGAGAUGCUUUGGUGCCUUCGGGAACUCUGAGACAGGUGCUGCAUGGCUGUCGUCAGCUCGUGUUGUGAAAUGUUGGGUUAAGUCCCGCAACGAGCGCAACCCUUAUCCUUUGUUGCCAGCGGUCCGGCCGGGAACUCAAAGGAGACUGCCAGUGAUAAACUGGAGGAAGGUGGGGAUGACGUCAAGUCAUCAUGGCCCUUACGAGUAGGGCUACACACGUGCUACAAUGGCAUAUACAAAGAGAAGCGACCUCGCGAGAGCAAGCGGACCUCAUAAAGUAUGUCGUAGUCCGGAUUGGAGUCUGCAACUCGACUCCAUGAAAUCGGAAUCGCUAGUAAUCGUGGAUCAGAAUGCCACGGUGAAUACGUUCCCGGGCCUUGUACACACCGCCCGUCACACCAUGGGAGUGGGUUGCAAAAGAAGUAGGUAGCUUAACCUUCGGGAGGGCGCUUACCACUUUGUGAUUCAUGACUGGGGUGAAGUCGUAACAAGGUAACC